Molecule: ribosomal RNA, 374 nt
Filed under: uncultured bacterium
Lineage: Bacteria
Description: bacterial SSU rRNA
Rfam family: Bacterial small subunit ribosomal RNA
Source: RNAcentral
UACGUAGGGUGCAAGCGUUAAUCGGAAUUACUGGGCGUAAAGCGUGCGCAGGCGGUUAUGCAAGACAGAGGUGAAAUCCCCGGGCUCAACCUGGGAACUGCCUUUGUGACUGCAUAGCUAGAGUACGGUAGAGGGGGAUGGAAUUCCGCGUGUAGCAGUGAAAUGCGUAGAUAUGCGGAGGAACACCGAUGGCGAAGGCAAUCCCCUGGACCUGUACUGACGCUCAUGCACGAAAGCGUGGGGAGCAAACAGGAUUAGAUACCCUGGUAGUCCACGCCCUAAACGAUGUCAACUGGUUGUUGGGAGGGUUUCUUCUCAGUAACGAAGCUAACGCGUGAAGUUGACCGCCUGGGGAGUACGGCCGCAAGGUUGAA